CUCUUGUAAAACUAAAACGGCUAAAAUAUGUCCAUUCAAUUUUAAUUUUAUUUUUACAACGUACAAAAUAUCCAAUUAGUAAAGAUGACUGUUUUGAAGGUUGGGAUGAUCUGUCAGGUAGAUGUCAGGCCAAGUGUACUGACUAGUGAGUCUGCUGUGAAACCGUCUACACUCAUGCUCAUCUCCUUCUUUUCCACUGCUGGUCUGUCUUCUGAAUUCUCUCCACUGACCUACCAUUUACCGACACCUAGAAAUGCUCCAGCUCCACGAAGUUGAUAUGCAUGUUGUCAUUAACAAUGUAUAAUCUACAAGGCUGUUACAUAUGUUAUAAAUCCAUAUAUGUAUUUAGCAGUCAUAAUUGAUCAUAAAUAUUUAAAUUAAUUAUAAUUAAGGUCUUGGUUGAGAUGAAAAAAUUAGUGUCACAAGGGGGAUUCGAAUAUACUAUCUUCAGCUCAAUAUGCCACAGCAGCGAAGGUCGUGGGUCCUUCUUGUGACACAGUUUUUUUCAUCUCAAUCAAGACCUGUUAUAAAUGUUGUAAAUAUAUGAAUAAAUAUUCUUAAUCAUAGUAAGAUAAGAUUGUUAAAUCAAAAUAAGAAUAUUGUAAAGAUUCAGAUGUUAUAAGUUUUAUAAAUAUUUUUAA
This is a long non-coding RNA of Cimex lectularius (bed bug), 641 nucleotides long. RefSeq lists it as uncharacterized. The record is from RefSeq and is a predicted model, not a curated record. NCBI's taxonomy places the organism in Eukaryota, Metazoa, Arthropoda, Insecta, Hemiptera, Cimicidae. The transcript is spliced from 2 exons.